GUUCCUGUGGCCUAAUGGGUAAGGCGUUGGAUUGUAAAUCUACAUACUGUGUCUUCGAAUUCCACCAGGAACA
Non-coding RNA from Trichonephila clavipes, 73 nucleotides. The record is from the annotation of a GenBank genome assembly. Lineage: Eukaryota; Metazoa; Arthropoda; Arachnida; Araneae; Nephilidae.